GACGAACGCUGGCGGCGUGCCUAAUACAUGCAAGUCGAGCGGGGCUGUUUGCUGGAAGCCUUCGGGCGGAAAGCUUGCAGCCUAGCGGCGGACGGGUGAGUAACGCGUGGGUAACCUGUCCUGAAGUACGGGAUAACAGUUCGAAAGGGCUGCUAAUACCGUAUGUGGUCAAGGGGAGUUCGCUUUCUUUGACUAAAGGUGAAAACCGCUUCAGGGUGGGCCCGCGUCCCAUUACGCUAGUUGGUAGGGUAAUGGCCUACCAAGGCGACGAUGGGUAGCCGGCCUGAGAGGGUGACCGGCCACACUGGGACUGAGACACGGCCCAGACUCCUACGGGAGGCAGCAGUAGGGAAUCUUGCGCAAUGGGGGAAACCCUGACGCAGCGACGCCGCGUGAGUGAAGAAGGCCUUCGGGUCGUAAAGCUCUGUCCUCCGGGAAGAUAAUGACGGUACCGGAGGAGGAAGCCCCGGCUAACUACGUG
RNAcentral lists this ribosomal RNA (481 nucleotides) under uncultured bacterium. RNAcentral describes it as "bacterial SSU rRNA". It matches the Rfam family "Bacterial small subunit ribosomal RNA", at positions 28 to 507 of the family's 1533-position model. The record is from RNAcentral.